AAAAGUCGUAACAAGGUUUCCGUAGGUGAACCUGCGGAAGGAUCAUUAUCGUUAAACCGAGGCGCGACGGCUGUCGCUGACCUUCCCCGGUCGUGACGCCCGAGCCCUCUCACAAUCCAUCUCACCCUUUGUGCAUCACCGCGUGGGUCCCCUUUGCGGGAGGGCCCGCGUCUUUACACAAAACUCGAUACAGUGUAGAAUGUUUAUUUUCGCGCUCGCACGCGAUCAAUAAUACAACUUUCAACAACGGAUCUCUUGGCUCUCGCAUCGAUGAAGAACGCAGCGAAAUGCGAUACGUAAUGUGAAUUGCAGAAUUCAGUGAAUCAUCGAAUCUUUGAACGCACCUUGCGCCCCUUGGCAUUCCGAGGGGCACACCCGUUUGAGUGUCGUGAAAUCUUCAAAAACCCUCUCUUUUGAGGAUUUUUGGACUUGGAGGUUCAAUGCUCGCUUUCGCCUUUUAGAAAGCGAGCUCCUCUCAAAUGAAUCAGUGGGGUCUGCUUUGCCGGUCCUUGACGUGAUAAGAUCUUUCUACGUUUUGGAUUCGACAUCGUCCCGCUUCCAAUCGUCCCACCACGGACAAAGGAUGGUGCUCCGGUCGCGGCCGGACCCAGAAACCUUGACCUCAAAUCGGGUGAGACUACCCGCUGAACUUAAGCAUAUCAAUAAGCGGAGGA
RNAcentral lists this ribosomal RNA (674 nucleotides) under Russula cessans. Its description in RNAcentral is "eukaryotic LSU rRNA". The stretch from base 236 to 389 matches the Rfam family "5.8S ribosomal RNA". Lineage: Eukaryota; Fungi; Basidiomycota; Agaricomycetes; Russulales; Russulaceae. The record is from RNAcentral.